Molecule: long non-coding RNA, 1651 nt
Organism: Tyto alba (common barn owl)
Lineage: Eukaryota; Metazoa; Chordata; Aves; Strigiformes; Tytonidae
Exons: 2
Source: RefSeq, a predicted model, not a curated record
UGCGCAGCUGGGGCGGCCCGGCCCGGCCCGGCCCGGCGGCCGCGGGGAGCCGGUGCGUUGCCGCCGGUGGCGUCCAGUCGCGUCCCGGGGCCGGUGGCCCGUGUGCCCGGGCGGUCCCCUCCUCCUCACUGCGGCCUCCCGAGGGAGAAGGGCCGCGGGGCGCCCACCGCCACCCCGCAUCCGUCCCGGCCGCCGGGUGCGGGGCGGGUGCCCGCGCACCGCCCGUGUGCCCGGCCGGGCGCUGCGUGGGUGAGGGGGUGACUUCAGGGCGGCAAGAAAGCUGAUGGUUUUGGUGUCGUUUCCAAACCCCCCUCACCCCCCAGACCCCCCUUUUUUUUUACUUUCUUGUGUGUGUUUGUGUUUCAGCAGGGUGAGUCCGCUCAGCCUUGUGGCGGGCGAGUGCCUGAGACAACACAGCGCACAGAUUGAAGGUGGGGACGGAUCCUGUUGCCAACAGCAGGAACCAAAUCAUCUCAUGGUGGAGUUACUGCCUCUUCAUCAUCCUGCACUCUUUCCCCAUAUUUGCAGGACAAGCAUUGAGUUCCCGUAACAGGAUGAGUGACAGCAGCAAAGGAGCUUUUGUUAACGUGACUUUAACUUCCUUGCAUUUUUGGUCAGCACAAUUAAGUUCGUCAGUGGUAUGACUACUGUAAGGUGUCUCUGCCAGUAAGACUGAAUUCUUACUUCACAGACUUGAGUCCUACAUGGAAAAUGAGGAGACAUAUAAUGAAAAUCAUUGAAAGUUGUCUUUUAUUUCUGACAAAGAUGUUACCUGUAUUAUUCAGAAGUGUAUAUAUUUUAAAAUUAUGUCUCUUACUGAAUGCCUAUUUUCUAUGAGCUCUGUGUAAUAAACUUUAAUGGGGAGGAUGGAAGAUUCUUCUUAUGGAUAGGUGUCGUUAAAGGAUUUAUUGCGGUUUUCUGCAACAUUAAUUCAGAUUGGCCUAGAUCCAAAUGCUGAUACACGGAUUGAAAAGUUCAAGGAAAUGUAAUGAUUUACUGCAGUAUAUUAAAGUCUGAAGAAAUAUAUGUGUCACUGUAUCACAAGGAAAAGGAUAAGUUUUCCUACAGGGUAAGCAUGAGGAUACAGGUUACAGUUGAGCAAUUUAGGGGUGUGACUGGUAGCCACUCAGAACUAAUUAAUUUCCUUAUCUCCUGUGUCACAGUUGUCUCAGUGCUAAAAUAACGGAGUGUGACUUCCUCUCUCUUGAAGUCUGUUCAGGCAUCUGUGCUCUAAGGGUACCAGGCCCACUGCUGAUACUACACAGCUACGUAACAAUGGCUCUGACUUCUGAAGAAAUUUCUGAGGAAAUUCUGAAUUGUGGGAUUAAAAAAAAAAAAAAAAAAAAGCUGUCAGGAACUCUGAAGAGGCGAUUCAUGUGAGAUGAGAAACCCUGUGCAAUUUCAGCUAAGACAAGGAAAAUCACUGACGUGGGGAGGUAUAAGAUCAUAAAUUAAAACCAGGGUGUCAGAAGGUGGCACAGCUGUGGCUGUGCUCCAGGGUGCUGCAGGAACUGCCCUAGCUCCUGACUCUUGCCUGCCUGGGUAGCUGAGAUUCUGCAUAUGUCUUAUAAAAUACAGUGAGCAUAUUAAUGCCUAACCUAGUAGUGAUCAUUUGUGUGUAAUAACCAAUAAAGAAUUCUUACAAACUGUA